This 1301-nucleotide ribosomal RNA is filed under the name Metoecus cf. javanus JL-2021a. RNAcentral's name for it is "16S ribosomal RNA". The stretch from base 1048 to 1206 matches the Rfam family "Archaeal large subunit ribosomal RNA", at positions 2542 to 2701 of the family's 2987-position model. The record is from RNAcentral. Lineage: Eukaryota; Metazoa; Arthropoda; Insecta; Coleoptera; Ripiphoridae.
GUAAGGUGUAUUUUUAUUAUUAGUGAAAAAAUUUUUUAGUUUUAUUAGAUUUUAUUGAAAAAAUUAUAUUAAUUAUAGUUAAAAGUAUUGUGAAAGACUAUUUUAUUUAUUUUUAUAAGAAAAUUUAAUUUAUUGUACCUUGGGUAUCAGGGUUAAUUAAAUAUAUUUUAAAAAUUUAAUUUUCUCGAAUUUAAAUGAGCUAAGUAGGUAUUUAUUUUGUUGUGAAAUAAAUAUUUUUAAUAUUUAUUUAGUAAUGAAACGUUAAUCGUAUUUAAGUAUAUCUAGUUUUCUAAGAAAUAAAUUUAAUUUAAUUUUGAGUUUAUAAUAAUUAUUAUUUUUUAUUUUUAUUGUUAAUUUAAUUUUUAUAAUUAAAGGGAUAAGCUUUUAAUUAAAGAUUUAUAAAAUAAGGUUGUUAUAAGUAAGUAGUAGGAUUAGAAGCUUCUUUCUAUUUAAGUAUGUAAUAAUUAUAUUUAUUUUAUUUUUAAUAUUUAUAUUAUAUUUUGUUUUUAAGUUUUUUAUUAGAAUAUAAUUUUUAAUUUUUUAAAAUUAGGGAUAAUGAUUAAAUUAGUAAAAUUUUUUGGUAUUUAUAAUUUUUAUUUUUUUUUAGGUUAUAUUAAGGAAUUCGGCAAAUAUGUUUUUCACCUGUUUAAUAAAAACAUGUCUUUUUGAUGUUAAUUUAAAGUCUAGUCUGCCCAAUGAUAGUAUUAGUGUUUAAUGGCUGCAGUAUUUUGACUGUACAAAGGUAGCAUGAUCAUUAGUUUUUUAAUUGAAAACUGGUAUGAAUGGCUGGAUGAGAAAACUUCUGUCUCAGUAUAAUUUGUUUUGAAUUUUAUAUUUAAGUUAAAAAGCUUAAAUUUUUUAAAAAGACGAGAAGACCCUUUAGAGUUUUAUAUAUAAUUUUAUAUUUAUAAUUAAGUAUUUUGUUUUUAUAUUUUUAUAUAUUUUGUUGGGGUGAUAGUAAAAUUUAUUUAACUUUUAUUUUUAUUUUUCACUAAUGAGUGUUUUUUUGAUCCUAUUAUUUAGAUUAUAAGAAAAAAUUACCUUAGGGAUAACAGCGUAAUUUUUUUUGAGAGCUCAAAUCGAAAAAAGAGAUUGCGACCUCGAUGUUGGAUUAAAAUUUAUGUUUGGUGUAACAGCUAAAUGAUUAGGUCUGUUCGACCUUUAAAAUUUUACAUGAUCUGAGUUUAAACCGGCGUAAGCCAGGUUGGUUUCUAUCUUUUAAUAAUAUAAAAUGUUUUAGUACGAAAGGACCAGAUAUUUAAAUAAUUGAUUAUUUAUGUUAUUGAUUUAAAAUAAUUUAC